GAUGAACGCUGACAGAAUGCUUAACACAUGCAAGUCAACUUGAACUUCGGUUUGGGUGGCGGACGGGUGAGUAACGCGUAAAGAACUUGCCUCACAGAUAGGGACAACAUUUGGAAACGAAUGCUAAUACCUGAUAUUAUGAUUUUAGGGCAUCCUAGGAUUAUGAAAGCUAUAUGCACUGUGAGAGAGCUUUGCGUCCCAUUAGCUAGUUGGAGAGGUAACGGCUCACCAAGGCGAUGAUGGGUAGCCGGCCUGAGAGGGUGAUCGGCCACAAGGGGACUGAGACACGGCCCUUACUCCUACGGGAGGCAGCAGUGGGGAAUAUUGGACAAUGGACCAAGAGUCUGAUCCAGCAAUUCUGUGUGCACGAUGAAGUUUUUCGGAAUGUAAAGUGCUUUCAGUUGGGAAGAAAAAAAUGACGGUACCAACAGAAGAAGUGACGGCUAAAUACGUGCCAGCAGCCGCGGUAAUACGUAUGUCACAAGCGUUAUCCGGAUUUAUUGGGCGUAAAGCGCGUCUAGGUGGUUAUGUAAGUCUGAUGUGAAAAUGCAGGGCUCAACUCUGUAUUGCGUUGGAAACUGUGUAACUAGAGUACUGGAGAGGUAAGCGGAACUACAAGUGUAGAGGUGAAAUUCGUAGAUAUUUGUAGGAAUGCCGAUGGGGAAGCCAGCUUACUGGACAGAUACUGACGCUGAAGCGCGAAAGCGUGGGUAGCAAACAGG
Molecule: ribosomal RNA, 722 nt
Filed under: uncultured Fusobacterium sp.
Lineage: Bacteria; Fusobacteriati; Fusobacteriota; Fusobacteriia; Fusobacteriales; Fusobacteriaceae
Description: bacterial SSU rRNA
Rfam family: Bacterial small subunit ribosomal RNA
Source: RNAcentral